RNAcentral lists this ribosomal RNA (477 nucleotides) under uncultured anaerobic ammonium-oxidizing bacterium. RNAcentral's name for it is "bacterial SSU rRNA". It matches the Rfam family "Bacterial small subunit ribosomal RNA", at positions 365 to 832 of the family's 1533-position model. The record is from RNAcentral.
UUCGCAAUGCCCGAAAGGGUGACGAUGCGACGCCGCGUGAGCGAAGAAGGCCCUAGGGUUGUAAAGCUCUGUCGAGGGUUAUGAAAUAUAGAUGGGUUAAUACCCCAUUUAUUUGACAAAAGCCCAAAAGGAAGCCACGGCUAACUCUGUGCCAGCAGCCGCGGUAAUACAGAGGUGGCGAGCGUUGUUCGGUAUUAUUGGGCGUAAAGAGCACGUAGGUGGUUUUGUAAGUCAGGUGUGAAAGCCUUCUGUUCAAAGGAAGAACGGCAUCUGAAACUGCGGAUCUUGAGUGUAGGAGGGGAGAGUGGAACUUCUGGUGGAGCGGUGAAAUGCGUAGAUAUCAGAAGGAACGUCGGCGGCGAAAGCGACUCUCUGGCCUAUUACUGACACUGAGUGUGCGAAAGUUAGGGGAGCAAACGGGAUUAGAUACCCCGGUAGUCCUAACCGUAAACGAUGGGCACUAAGUAGAGGGGUUUU